CCUACGGGAGGCAGCAGUGGGGAAUUUUGGACAAUGGGCGAAAGCCUGAUCCAGCCAUUCCGCGUGAGUGAAGAAGGCCUUCGGGUUGUAAAGCUCUUUCGCAAGGGAAGAAAACUUAUAUUCUAAUAAAGUAUGAGGAUGACGGUACCUUGAUAAGAAGCACCGGCUAACUACGUGCCAGCAGCCGCGGUAAUACGUAGGGUGCGAGCGUUAAUCGGAAUUACUGGGCGUAAAGCGUGCGCAGGCGGUUUUGAAAGUCAGAUGUAAAAGCCCCGAGCUCAACUUGGGAACUGCUUUUGAAACUCCAAAGCUAGAGUAUAGGAGAGGGGGGUAAAAUUCCACGUGUAGCAGUGAAAUGCGUAGAGAUGUGGAGGAAUACCAAGGGCGAAGGCGGCCCCCUG
Molecule: ribosomal RNA, 401 nt
Filed under: uncultured Methylophilaceae bacterium
Lineage: Bacteria; Pseudomonadati; Pseudomonadota; Betaproteobacteria; Nitrosomonadales; Methylophilaceae
Description: partial 16S ribosomal RNA
Rfam family: Bacterial small subunit ribosomal RNA
Source: RNAcentral